Molecule: transfer RNA, 539 nt
Filed under: uncultured cyanobacterium
Lineage: Bacteria; Bacillati; Cyanobacteriota
Description: partial miscellaneous RNA
Rfam family: tRNA (bases 212-284)
Source: RNAcentral
CAGGGAGACAACAAAAUGUUUAAUAUUAUUAUUUUGUCACCUUAGGUCGAUCGGUAUCUCACGUUCUUAUUUAAUUAAGAAUUUCAUUUCCUAAGUUUUUUCUAGGUCACACCCAUUAUUUUCCUGGGCCAUUAGCUCAGGUGGUUAGAGCGCACCCCUGAUAAGGGUGAGGUCCCUGGUUCAAGUCCAGGAUGGCCCAUAUCUCUAUGUUGGGGGUAUAGCUCAGUUGGUAGAGCGCCUGCUUUGCAAGCAGGAUGUCAGCGGUUCGAGUCCGCUUACCUCCACUGAUUACCUCCUCUUCCAUAUUCUGUAGAAAGGGAAAUUUUGUGUUGUGAUCGUAAUUCUGAACGAAUCUAGCUUCCUAAUGAAACCAUUAAGAUGCUGGACUCAUUGAAUUAAUUUCAUUGUUUUCAGAGAACCUUGACAACUGCAUAGAUUAUUUUAAAGACAAUAAGCAUCUUUAGUGAUGCAGAUUUAUUAUUUAUGCAAAUGCAUUUAUAACAAUUCUAUUAAGCUGAUGCUUCAAUUAUGAAGUUAUU